This 446-nucleotide long non-coding RNA is filed under the name Rattus norvegicus (Norway rat). RNAcentral describes it as "long non-coding RNA NONRATT010803". Lineage: Eukaryota; Metazoa; Chordata; Mammalia; Rodentia; Muridae. The record is from RNAcentral.
UAAAAAGAGGUGGCGCUGAAUGCUACCUUGUCGUUCUUGAGUGCAAAGAGCCCGUGAUGACGUGCUGGUUGGCUUUCUCUCAAUUUGAUACAACCUGGAGUCAUUUGGGAAGAGGGAUUGCCAAUAUCAACUGGCUAACGGAAGCUGAUGUUCCAGCUGUGGCAGUGUUUGGAAGCCUUGAUACCCACGGAGGCUAAUCACAGACCAUCUGGGGAACCUAGAAUUGAGGGAUAGCUCUUGAUUUUGGCGCAGACUGUUGCUUUGUUUCGGUUUUGUUUUGAAUCUACGGUUGAAAAUAGCACGUCUCUGCCUCCACUGUGGCAACGUGGACAGGACUGGUAAUGGUGUCAAAGUCACCAAAUUCCCUAAAACAAAGGUGGCUCUCAACCUUCCUAAUGCUUCAACCCUUUAAUAAAGGUCCUCAUGUUGUGGGGACCCCCAACCAC